GGCGCUGUGGCGGAGUGGUCUAACGCGUUAGACUGUGAAUCUAAUUCCUUCGGGAGCAUCGGUUCGAACCCGAUCGGCGUCG
RNAcentral lists this transfer RNA (82 nucleotides) under Fusarium vanettenii 77-13-4. Its description in RNAcentral is "tRNA-His (GTG) (tRNA-His-GTG-4-1)". It matches the Rfam family "tRNA". Rfam says of the family: Transfer RNA (tRNA) molecules are approximately 80 nucleotides in length. The record is from RNAcentral. Lineage: Eukaryota; Fungi; Ascomycota; Sordariomycetes; Hypocreales; Nectriaceae.